GGGAAACAACUGUUGUGUGAAUGGAACAUCUAUUGACACACCUUAUUCGGCAUGGUAUCCUUGGUUGCAUCAUCUAUUGCAAUUGUUGGUUUGAAGGUUAACAAUGUGCUGGUUUAAUUAUUUGAGAUAACAAGCAUUUUUAUUGACCCAUAAAGCUUAUUGGUGUGCUGAUUUCAGUUGCCAGAGAUGUUUAUGUUCCAGGAAUAGUUCAAUUCAGUGUAGGAGACGGGGAGGCUGAAGACCUGCUUCCUCAAUCUCAAUUAUUGGAGCUGCUGGUUUCAAGACUACAGAUGCUGCUUAUAUUCCAUGAAUAUUUUGAUUCAGGGAAGGAGAAGGGAACGGGGAUGAACUGCUGCAUCAACUAUUGCAGUUGUGGAGGCUCAGGCGCUGCAGACGUUUUUGUUCCCAUGAAUAUUUGGAUUCACUGAAGAGACGGAAGUGAAUAACCUGCUACAUCAACGUUUAAAGGGUAGAUAUGUUGUGGAUAGAGUUCUGGUUGUUUGCGUGUGUGGGUGCUUUGUGCGGAGUCAGUCCAGGCCACGAGUCGGUUAUAAACUAUAGUGAUCUCAAACCAUAAAAAAUAUAUUUUAACUGCAGAUGUAAAGGUUUAUGAAUUUAUUUGUGUUCAAAUGCCUUUUUAGAAUUGAAAAUUGUUUUUCGUUUUUCUUUUGGUAAACGUUUCCAACCGGCGCACCGGCCGAAGCUUGAGCCGGUCGCACGGGGUGCGUUUGAUCGAGUGGGAUCGAACGAACCGUUUUUUUGCUCGGGGUACAGCUGGACUAGGUAAUGUGGCCCACUCUCCACCAAACAUUCCUUAUCCUUUUCUUCUUUCUUCUUCUUCCUCCGUCCGCAUCUAGACUUCACCGCUGCUUCUUUUUCCUCCCGUAGCAACACCUUGCAAGCUGCUGGUUUUCUUCAUCGGAGGCGGUGGUGCUGAAUAGCAGCCACCUCACGUCCGAGCCUCCGCUCCUCCUCGUUGUUGCCUGCGCACACACCGCUGCAAGGUCAACACUCAUGACGAUGCAACAUCACCAUGGACGUGCCCACACAGCUUUGCUUUUUCUACGGAGUGCUGCAACCGGUCAUGGGAGAUGCUACAUCCGCCGUGAGGGAUGCUAUAACCCAUAAACUUUUUUUGCUGGAACCAACUACUGUAUUUGUCGCUGAUUCUUUUUUUUGCUGGAACUAGUGUUUGGUUUGCUACCACCGGUGACAUGGUUUGCUACCACCAUACGCAGCGACCGGCCGACGUCAAUUUUUUUUCUUGCUACAACCGUGUCAUAUUUUUGCUGCAAUCGGCAGCCACAGAAGCUACAAUCGGUUAACAUUUUUGCUACAAUGGCGACGACGGGCGGCACCGGCGAGCUUUUAAUUUGCUGGAACCGUUACCCUUUUUUGCUACAACCGUUCGUUCUUUUUGCUGCUACCGACACCCCGACGGAGAGUACAGUUUCUUUGUGAGCUCAUCGCCGGAGGUGCUGCGACCUGCAAUCACCGCACCCCGAAGCUGCGUCCGCCGUCAUCGGAGCUGCGACCGUCGUCACGGGGAGCUGCAACUACGGGGACAUAUGUUGCUGCAUGCAUGGAGCCGACGAGAAACACAUGAGAUGACGGCAGCGAGGGGUGGCGACCAGCGUGACGCGCCAGGCAGUGCUUCUAGGCCGGGCGCGUCGCUCGUCCAUGGCGGCGCUAUGGGGCUGCUUCCUAGGGAAGAAGACACAGGGGAAGAAGGAAGGAGAUCCUGGGGUUCUAAAUUGCUUAAUUUGCUACAAUCAUUGUUUUUUUUCUGGAAUUAGUCUACUUUUUUGCUACGAUCGACCACUGAAUCUUUCCCGGUUCGAGUUUGUUUUCUUCUGGAACCGGUGCUUAAUUUUGCUACAAUCAUUGUUUUUUCUGCUGGAACUAGUCUACUUAUUUGCUACAAUUGACCACUGAAUCCCUAGCUGAGUCUACUUUUUUGCUUCCACCAUGUUCUGUUUUUGCUGGAUCCUGUCAUUGUUUUUGCUUCCACCAUGUUCUGUUUUUUUGGGCACCACAAUCAGAGUUGCGACCGUGGGGGCGUUGUCGGGCUGCCGCCGGCGAGUUGGCUGGUGCUGCAGUAGAAGCAUGCGAAGGAUUAGGGGGGAGGAGGAGGUGCAUGGUUGCUGGGCAUGGACAUGGGAAGACUAGGGGGAGGAGUGGAGACGCGGCGACGGCGAACUCCGAC
RNAcentral lists this long non-coding RNA (2206 nucleotides) under Triticum aestivum (bread wheat). Its description in RNAcentral is "long non-coding RNA (TAES_LNC002171)". Lineage: Eukaryota; Viridiplantae; Streptophyta; Magnoliopsida; Poales; Poaceae. The record is from RNAcentral.